GACGAACGCUGGCGGCGUGCCUAAUACAUGCAAGUUGAGCGCUGAAGGUUGGUACUUGUACCGACUGGAUGAGCAGCGAACGGGUGAGUAACGCGUGGGGAAUCUGCCUUUGAGCGGGGGACAACAUUUGGAAACGAAUGCUAAUACCGCAUAAAAACUUUAAACACAAGUUUUAAGUUUGAAAGAUGCAAUUGCAUCACUCAAAGAUGAUCCCGCGUUGUAUUAGCUAAUUGGUGAGGUAAAGGCUCACCAAGGCGAUGAUACAUAGCCGACCUGAGAGGGUGAUCGGCCACAUUGGGACUGAGACACGGCCCAAACUCCUACGGGAGGCAGCAGUAGGGAAUCUUCGGCAAUGGACGAAAGUCUGACCGAGCAACGCCGCGUGAGUGAAGAAGGGUUUCGGAUCGUAAAACUCUGUUGGUAGAGAAGAACGUUGGUGAGAGUGGAAAGCUCAUCAAGUGACGGUAACUACCCAGAAAGGGACGGCUAACUACGUG
Molecule: ribosomal RNA, 497 nt
Filed under: uncultured bacterium
Lineage: Bacteria
Description: partial 16S ribosomal RNA
Rfam family: Bacterial small subunit ribosomal RNA
Source: RNAcentral